This 253-nucleotide ribosomal RNA is filed under the name uncultured bacterium. Its description in RNAcentral is "partial 16S ribosomal RNA". It matches the Rfam family "Bacterial small subunit ribosomal RNA", at positions 524 to 776 of the family's 1533-position model. The record is from RNAcentral.
UACGGGGGGGGCAAGCGUUGUUCGGAAUUACUGGGCGUAAAGGGCGCGUAGGCGGGUGGACAAGUCUCUCGUGAAAGCCCACGGCUCAACCGUGGAAUUGCGGGAGAUACUGUCUGUCUUGAGUCCGGGAGAGGAGUGUGGAAUUCCCAGUGUAGCGGUGAAAUGCGUAGAUAUUGGGAGGAGCACCGGUGGCGACGGCGGCUCUCUGGACCGGUACUGACGCUGAGGCGCGAAAGCUAGGGGAGCAAACGGG